This 73-nucleotide transfer RNA is filed under the name Camelus dromedarius (Arabian camel). It matches the Rfam family "tRNA". From Rfam's summary of the family: Transfer RNA (tRNA) molecules are approximately 80 nucleotides in length. Their secondary structure includes four short double-helical elements and three loops (D, anti-codon, and T loops). Further hydrogen bonds mediate the characteristic L-shaped molecular structure. tRNAs have two regions of fundamental functional importance: the anti-codon, which is responsible for specific mRNA codon recognition, and the 3' end, to which the tRNAs corresponding amino acid is attached (by aminoacyl-tRNA synthetases). tRNAs cope with the degeneracy of the genetic code in two manners: having more than one tRNA (with a specific anti-codon) for a particular amino acid; and 'wobble' base-pairing, i.e. permitting non-standard base-pairing at the 3rd anti-codon position. Lineage: Eukaryota; Metazoa; Chordata; Mammalia; Artiodactyla; Camelidae. The record is from Rfam by way of RNAcentral. RNAcentral also lists the same sequence under 1 other name.
GAGGGUAUAGCUCAAGCGGUAGAGCACAUGCUUAGCAUGCAUGAGGUCCUGGGUUCAAUCCUCAGUACCUCCU